Long non-coding RNA from Vespula vulgaris, 4026 nucleotides. RefSeq lists it as uncharacterized. The transcript is spliced from 14 exons. The record is from RefSeq and is a predicted model, not a curated record. NCBI's taxonomy places the organism in Eukaryota, Metazoa, Arthropoda, Insecta, Hymenoptera, Vespidae.
UGUAAGACGGGCAAUAGGCGUCUAUGCUACCAUGAUGAAGACCGACGCCUCUCACAAGGAGUUCUUUUUCUACCGUGGCUUGAUGACGAAGUUGUUCGAGUCGUAACUGAUUCUGUCUCUUCCACUUCGUUCUGGAACAAAUAAGCAAGUUGAGCAUGUGUGAAAGCCGUUCGUCUUCUUCGUGGCUUUCUUCCACUAGGUGGACCACUAGGAGUUCCACAAGAUUUACCGGACGUUGCCGGACCUGGUGGAGGCGAGAGAACAGGUGGUGGACUUCCUAGUCGCGUACAAGGACUACUGCCAGGAUCGAUUGUAUCUUCGGAAUCCGAAUGAACGGCCGAAUCAUCUUCGGAAUCUUCUAUUUGACUCAACGGUGAAAGCCUAUUAUCGACACAAUGCCAAACGAACGGAAAUCGAUUUACUAUCGUCCCUAGUUCAUGGUAAACGAUCUCAAUCAAGAUCCUGUGGUGUCGUGCAACGAUUGACCAAUAAAACUGGGAAGCGCUGCGGGACAGAGUAAGCGACGGCAAAAAUUUGUGGACUAACGAAUCCUAACGAGUCACUUCGCACCUAAAACCAUCUGUAGGAUCACCCCUAACAGGGCGACACCCUGUAGGGUGGAUCGUCGUUCCUCGGACCCCGAAUAGUGGAUAAAAAUAAUAGAAGAGUCCUUAGGGGGUAUCUUUUAACGAGAAUCCCGACGGUAGUGCACGCGACCGACUCGUGUUUCGUAUAUAAAACACUAAUAAUCUAUCAAAAUUCAUUUUUUUAUUGAUUGUUAAAUCUUUAGAAAGUCUCCGAUCGUUCGAGAAGUCGAUAUCACCUACCUUGAACUCUGUCUGCCAGAACGUCGCCCAAAAGAUCUCUUAUCAAAAAGGACUUGUGUUCUUGCAUCAUCGUCACUGAAGAAUCGACGCAAACCAGUUUUGAAAACUAAACAAGAUCACUCGAGUAAUCAAUGUAUAUCUCGGUUGAAUCAGGUCAUCUAAUGGCACCUAAUACAGUAUCGCACCCUUAAAUUGGAUAUUUUGCGAGGGGAAGAUUCGUGUAUGUGAAACUCGUUUUAUUAUCGCAUCUGUCGUGAUCCGAACGAAGCUAAAUUGAUGGAAGUAAGAAAAGAGGAGAAUCACCAUCGUACAAAAAAGAAAUGAUGCAGAAUUUUUAGUUUAUUUUGGCAAAAAAUGUGGAACGCUUCACGAUUUUGCGUGUCAUCCUUGCGCAGGGGCCAUGCUAAUCUUCUCUGUAUCGUUCCAAUUUUAGUAUAUGUACUGCCGAAGCAAGUACAACAGGAUCGCUCAAGAAGAGUAAUAUAUAGAAAUCUACUCGAUAUAUAGUGUUUGCGAGAAAACUUAUAUACUUAUAAUGUAUACUAUUCUUAAGCGCCAUCUAGUGAAAGAUUUGCCUAAUACUUACAAGUUUAGCUAGAAAAUUCUUAUAAGUAUAGAUUGCAGAUGCAUUUUUAUUAAUAAUCUUUGAUAAGAAAUAAUACACUUAAGAUAGUAAAAACAUAAAUAGUAUUAAAUUUUAUCAUUUUCGAAUUAAUGAAAGACAUUCUAUUUGUUUUAUCAUUUUGUUAGAUCAGUUAUAGCAGAUAUUAUGUAAUAAUUUAUUUUAUAGAUAUUUAUCUAUAUUAAUUUUGUAUAGUAUUGUAAUAUUUUAGUUGUAAAAUGAAAAUCUUUUUUAUGUCAUAAAAGAUGAUAACACUCAAAUGGAAAGAUUCGUAAAAAUCGAUGACUCGAUAAUAACAGCGCCGGUUGUGGCGAUCGUUGCCACGAAUUGGUAAAUACAGAUAAAAAACAGUGAAGAGGAUCACGGUAGAAUGAUUUAGAACAGUGAUGGGCAGAGAGCAUGGAUCAAAUCGCGAGGCAAAGAACUUCGAAGCCGUUAACAAUCACGGCAAAUAUGAAAUCCAUUGACGUUCGACCGUGCGUAUGAAUAUAACUGCGAAUACGAAUAUUUUGUGGAUGGUUGUAAUGUAGAAUGUUGUGUAGUAGUAAUGAACAGGACCCUCCGAGCUCUAAAUAUGCAUGUGCACGUUCUUCAACUUGUUUUUUCCUUCGUGAUUCAAGAGAUAAUUUCAUUGAUGCGAUAUUAUUCUACACUAUGACCAUUGCGGAAGACAUGAUUUUAAUACAGUUUUUAUUUUAACAAACCAACAUGAUAUUAUUCGAGCCAUACGAUGUUUCUUGAAAAAUGACGAAGGGAAGCGGAGACACUCUCGAAGGAUGGUGGUUAUGGGAAAAAGAGUGCUUGAACACGGACGUUGGUCAGACUCCCGCGGUUCCAAUUACGAGUGAAAGGCGGCCCUGUUCGUUCGUCUCCUAUAACUGCCGACUCUUCAGGACUUCGUACGAGGCCCUCUUACCCCCAUGACCACUUUCGAGUUUCGACACGCGUGUUUCCAUGGCAAAUGCUACCAUUUCGUUGGAUUUGAUCAUCGCACUUGCUCGCUUAUCGCUCUACGAAACUGUUGCGACUUGAUGAAUAAAUAUAAUAGAUAAAAUGUACGUGUUAUCGCUGGAAUCUCUACGAGGGAAACGAUUAUCCGAUGUAAUCAUAUCCCUGCUUUGGAUCUAAGAGUUGGGUAAUCAAGGGACGAUUGCUAUCACAAAGCUGCUUGAUUGGCUCGUUUAUGUUACGGUUGAUCAAAGAUCUCAGUUCAGGAGGAUAAUCGUCCCAGGAAAGCAAAGACGAGGGAUGUGUCGUAGCGCAGUGUCGCCAAAGUCGAGAGGAUUACUUGUUUACAAACGACAGUUGAUUUGACAAAGCCGCGAGUCCAUUUAUACGAGUGAAUAUUACAAGGCGUAGUUGAGGGGUGGCUUGUUAUCCGCUCAUUGAAGUUAACCACGGGGCUAAGUGCGCGGAGGAGGGAGGGGUGAUGCUCGUGGUAAGGAGAAUACGAAGAGUAAAGGCUAGUUAUCCAAUGUUGUGUAACGCACACAUAUAUACAGUGAAUGCUGGAUAUCGUUGAAUCGAGCGCUGAUAUUGACUACUGCGAGUUACUCUAUUACUAAUACUACUAUCGCUACUACACUCCUCCAUCCACGAGUACUAUUCUUUUGCAUCCGGUUUGCUUGUUGUUUCAUUUUCGCGACCCCUAGUUUACUCUGCAGUGUCGGCAUAACAAUGAAAGCGAAAAAAAUCGGAAAUAAAGUGAGAGAAACGAGGUGGAAGGGAAAGAAAGAGAUAGCCAUUGUUUCCGGUAACUCUUUCGCGGUAACGAGGAGGAACCUCAAUUAGAACGGUUUGAGGACUUAAACGCCCAGAGGCUGCCGGGUUUUAAGAGGCAAGGAUGCAGUAACGUCGACAUGGAAGCAUUGUUUCUCCGAGCAAUAAUGCAAACGAUACCCUAAGCGCGUGAAAGAUGUUGUGAUUCUCUCUUAACACUCGCUGUUGCAAACUAUGACGUAUCAUGAAAUACAUUCCAUCCAAAACGUACGAACUUUAUGCCUGGAUACAUCAAUUCUUACUGUAUUCAUUUACAAGCUCGAUAAAUAACGAAAACAGGAUCUCAUCCAUCUCAUGCUUGGUGCCCUGAUUGAAAAGAAAGUCUGUAUUUUGAAGCUCGAUAUGGUGUGGCCAGCAGUAACCAUAAAUCAUCUGGAAAUCCUGUUACCCUGUCGUCGCGAAAACGCCAGGGGUGUUUUCAGAGUACAAAGGAUACAAAACCGAGGAGAGUUCCUCCAGGUUACGUUUCUGAGUUAUAGCUCCCUGGUGUUACAAAUGCUUCUGGCGCCACUCUCUUGACGAAUGACAGGACAUUGACGAGCACGAAGGGAAGGAUACGAAGGAAAUCGAGAUAAUCACGUGGAAAGAUGUUAUACGUCACGAGAGCAAGUUUUUCCCUACAUGAGGUCCUGAUCUAUAGAAUAUUUUCCAUACGACGAGAGUGUUUUUAGUUCUCUACCACGUUAAAAAAUAUUCUUCUUUAUGGUAUCCUGAUACACCGAAUAUUUCUUGGAUAUAAAUUUGUUCUAGAACGUCAAUAAAAUGUAAGAUUAUAAGAAAUUGAAUGUUUAGCAACAC